RNAcentral lists this ribosomal RNA (253 nucleotides) under uncultured bacterium. Its description in RNAcentral is "partial 16S ribosomal RNA". It matches the Rfam family "Bacterial small subunit ribosomal RNA", at positions 524 to 776 of the family's 1533-position model. The record is from RNAcentral.
UACGUAGGGGGCAAGCGUUGUCCGGAUUCAUUGGGCGUAAAGCGCGUGUAGGCGGCUUGGUAAGUCUGCUCUGAAAGCCCGGGGCUCAACCCCGGGAGGCGGGUGGAUACUGUCAAGCUCGAGUCCGGAAGAGGAGAGCGGAAUUCCCGGUGUAGUGGUGGAAUGCGUAGAGAUCGGGAGGAACACCAGUGGCGAAAGCGGCUCUCUGGUCCAAAACUGACGCUGAGGGGCGAAAGCGUGGGGAGCGAACGGG